Long non-coding RNA from Trematomus bernacchii (emerald rockcod), 1501 nucleotides. RefSeq lists it as uncharacterized. Lineage: Eukaryota; Metazoa; Chordata; Actinopteri; Perciformes; Nototheniidae. The record is from RefSeq and is a predicted model, not a curated record. The transcript is spliced from 3 exons.
UACCCUUCAAACCCUCAGCAGCCCAAACCUCAGCAGGCUGAACCCCUGCAAGGGGUGCUCCAAAGUAAAGCUGGCAUGUGGGACAUUCCUUCCCAAGGAAGUGUUGCUUCUGGCUCUAAUGUGCAGCCCACUGACUCAAACUCGCACUUGAAUGUUGACCCAACAAGUUUGAGAGAAAUUCCAAUGUCAUUCCUGUACCAGCCCAGGUGGCAACAGCAACUGGUGCCAGUGUAGAACAGACAUCAUUGACCUUCCUAACUGUUCCUGGACUUGCCUGGAAGCAGUCUGAACUGGCAUCAACUUUGAAUUUAAUAAAAUACUUGGAACACACUCUUUGGAUGUUAUUUGAAACUUUACUUGUGCUGUGCUGUAGACAGUGCUGCACCCUUACUUUCUGAACAUGUCCACAACCACUUGCUUGUUUCCUUUGAACUUCAGGGGUUUGUUUUCCUGGCAAGGUACAAUAACAUUGUGAACAGCAGCUCACAGUAAUGUGUAUUCAAAUAUGUAUUGACCAGCAAGUUUAAAAGACUUGACUAAGAAUGUUCUUCACUUAACAUUUGAAAGUUUGAUGACUUAAAGGCUGAGAACUUUCAAGGAUGAGUGUCCAACAUUAUUUCAAAGUGUCAGACUCUGGUUCCUAAUGAGGUUUAUUGGACUACACAUGACAAACUUGUAUCACUUAAAACAACAUCUUCAGAAACAUUGCAGUUUAGGCUUUAUUCCAUGUUGCUGAAUUGAUUGUUAUAUAAUGCAUAUGUUUGUGUAUUUUGGGCCUAAUGUGUAUAGGUCCUGUUAGGCAUGUGUGUAACUGUUAAUCAACAACAGAUUGAAACACUGAGAAUAAAAAAGUAUGCCUUCUAGAGUAAGACGGGUGAGCUGGAGGGCCCUGAGGUGGAUGGAUUUGUCAAAGAUAUGAUGGAGCUGGUGAAGCCCAGCAUCAGUGGCACAGACCUGGACAAGUUCAGGAAAGCUCUGAUGGGUCACCGCGACAUCAACGGAGACGGAAAGAUCCAGAAGAACGAGCUGGCUCUCUGCCUCGGCCUCAAACUCAGCUAACAGACCACAACGUUCACACAUUUUUCUUUCUUUCCUCUAUCCUUCUUUCCAUCUUCCUUCUCUCUAUGUACAGUUCUAAAUUAUUUUAUUUUUCAAUUUAAAUGUGUAUCUUUUACUAUACUCAUUUACUCCCGUCUGAAUCAUUACUUCUCCCUCCCUAUUUUAGCAGUAUCGCCUCAAUUAUUGGCUCUCAGUUGGUGUUUUAAGAAUGAUGUAUCUACAUGUUUUAUGCUCAUAUAUAUAUAUAAUGUUAUAUAUUGCUAUAAUAUUUAUAUUAAAAUAUCGAGCAAUUUAAAUAAUGGUAAAUGUGGAGCCAUGAGUUGGGACAUAAAAAUCGUUUGUUUUCUUUAAUGUAAAAAAUAAUGAAACAUUGUUUGAAUUACAUUUUUUGUGAAACGAGUAUCAUGAAUGAUGGCUAAUAAAAUAGUUUGUGUCUUUGUCA